RNAcentral lists this ribosomal RNA (405 nucleotides) under uncultured bacterium. Its description in RNAcentral is "partial 16S ribosomal RNA". It matches the Rfam family "Bacterial small subunit ribosomal RNA", at positions 28 to 526 of the family's 1533-position model. The record is from RNAcentral.
GAUGAACGCUGGCGGCGUGCCUCAUACACGCAAGUCGAGCGAAGCGGGGACGGGUGACUAACACGUGGAUAACCUCCUAUAAGACUGGGAUAACUUCGGGACACCGGAGCUAUACCGGAUACUUAUAGAUGGAUAUGCGCUGCAUUGGCCAGGAGGGAAGUUAACGGCUUACCAAGGCAACGAUGCAUAGCCGACCUGAGGGGGUGAUGGGCCACACGGAAACUGAGACACGGUCCACGGUCCUACGGUAAGCAGCAAUAGGGAAUCUUCCGCAAUGGGCGAGAGCCUGACGGAAAGACGCCGCGUGAGUGAUGAAGGUCGUCAGAUCGUAAAACGCUGGUAUGAGGGAAGCGGUACCUAAUCAGAAAGCCGCGGCUAACUACGUGCCAGGAGCCGCGGUAAUUC